Molecule: ribosomal RNA, 427 nt
Filed under: uncultured bacterium
Lineage: Bacteria
Description: bacterial SSU rRNA
Rfam family: Bacterial small subunit ribosomal RNA
Source: RNAcentral
UGGGGAAUUUUGGACAAUGGGCGCAAGCCUGAUCCAGCAAUGCCGCGUGCAGGAUGAAGGCCUUCGGGUUGUAAACUGCUUUUGUACGGAGCGAAAAGGUCUGCCCUAAUACGGUGGGCUCAUGACGGUACCGUAAGAAUAAGCACCGGCUAACUACGUGCCAGCAGCCGCGGUAAUACGUAGGGUGCGAGCGUUAAUCGGAAUUACUGGGCGUAAAGCGUGCGCAGGCGGUUAUAUAAGACAGGUGUGAAAUCCCCGGGCUCAACCUGGGACCUGCAUUUGUGACUGUAUAGCUAGAGUACGGUAGAGGGGGACGGAAUUCCGCGUGUAGCAGUGAAAUGCGUAGAUAUGCGGGGGAGCACCGAUGGCGAAGGCAAUCCCCUGGACCUGUACUGACGCUCAUGCACGAAAGCGUGGGGAGCAAACA